AAUAGAUGCAAGUCGAACGAACUCUGGUAUUGAUUGGUGCUUGCAUCAUGAUUUACAUUUGAGUGAGUGGCGAACUGGUGAGUAACACGUGGGAAACCUGCCCAGAAGCGGGGGAUAACACCUGGAAACAGAUGCUAAUACCGCAUAACAACUUGGACCGCAUGGUCCGAGUUUGAAAGAUGGCUUCGGCUAUCACUUUUGGAUGGUCCCGCGGCGUAUUAGCUAGAUGGUGGGGUAAUGGCUCACCAUGGCAAUGAUACGUAGCCGACCUGAGAGGGUAAUCGGCCACAUUGGGACUGAGACACGGCCCAAACUCCUACGGGAGGCAGCAGUAGGGAAUCUUCCACAAUGGACGAAAGUCUGAUGGAGCAACGCCGCGUGAGUGAAGAAGGGUUUCGGCUCGUAAAACUCUGUUGUUAAAGAAGAACAUAUCUGAGAGUAACUGUUCAGGUAUUGACGGUAUUUAACCAGAAAGCCACGGCUAACUACGUGCCAGCAGCCGCGGUAAUACGUAGGUGGCAAGCGUUGUCCGGAUUUAUUGGGCGUAAAGCGAGCGCAGGCGGUUUUUUAAGUCUGAUGUGAAAGCCUUCGGCUCAACCGAAGAAGUGCAUCGGAAACUGGGAAACUUGAGUGCAGAAGAGGACAGUGGAACUCCAUGUGUAGCGGUGAAAUGCGUAGAUAUAUGGAAGAACACCAGUGGCGAAGGCGGCUGUCUGGUCUGUAACUGACGCUGAGGCUCGAAAGUAUGGGUAGCAAACAGGAUUAGAUACCCUGGUAGUCCAUACCGUAAACGAUGAAUGCUAAGUGUUGGAGGGUUUCCGCCCUUCAGUGCUGCAGCUAACGCAUUAAGCAUUCCGCCUGGGGAGUACGGCCGCAAGGCUGAAACUCAAAGGAAUUGACGGGGGCCCGCACAAGCGGUGGAGCAUGUGGUUUAAUUCGAAGCUACGCGAAGAACCUUACCAGGUCUUGACAUACUAUGCAAAUCUAAGAGAUUAGACGUUCCCUUCGGGGACAUGGAUACAGGUGGUGCAUGGUUGUCGUCAGCUCGUGUCGUGAGAUGUUGGGUUAAGUCCCGCAACGAGCGCAACCCUUAUUAUCAGUUGCCAGCAUUAAGUUGGGCACUCUGGUGAGACUGCCGGUGACAAACCGGAGGAAGGUGGGGAUGACGUCAAAUCAUCAUGCCCCUUAUGACCUGGGCUACACACGUGCUACAAUGGAUGGUACAACGAGUUGCGAACUCGCGAGAGUAAGCUAAUCUCUUAAAGCCAUUCUCAGUUCGGAUUGUAGGCUGCAACUCGCCUACAUGAAGUCGGAAUCGCUAGUAAUCGCGGAUCAGCAUGCCGCGGUGAAUACGUUCCCGGGCCUUGUACACACCGCCCGUCACACCAUGAGAGUUUGUAACACCCAAAGUCGGUGGGGUAACCUUUUAGGAACCAGCCGCC
This 1442-nucleotide ribosomal RNA is filed under the name Lactiplantibacillus plantarum. RNAcentral describes it as "bacterial SSU rRNA". It matches the Rfam family "Bacterial small subunit ribosomal RNA". The record is from RNAcentral. Lineage: Bacteria; Bacillati; Bacillota; Bacilli; Lactobacillales; Lactobacillaceae.